Oryza sativa Japonica Group (Japanese rice) is the source of this 1853-nucleotide non-coding RNA. The record is from RefSeq and is a predicted model, not a curated record. Lineage: Eukaryota; Viridiplantae; Streptophyta; Magnoliopsida; Poales; Poaceae.
CGCUCCACUCCACUAGUUUUUUCCAUUCCCUGUGUCCCCUUUUCAGAUCUCCCUUUCCCUCUCCAAGAAAAGAAACCAUCAAAGAAUACGCAACGAGAUAGGGGGGAGUGGCUACUAUCAAUCUCCAUGGGCGCCUAUGAGGCCACCAAGGUGGUUUUUGCCCGGUUGCAAGCGCUUGAGCCCAAUCUUGCUCCAAACAUCAUUGGCAUGCUCCUCACCAAGGAUAAAAAUGAGAUGGACAUGAUUCAUCUCGCAUGUGGCCCUGACAACCUCCUCCAAUCUAUCAUUGCCAAGGUGCGCACCGACCUCACCAACAAGCCUUCCCCUCCUAUGGCCUCCUGGGGCUUCCCGUCCGAUAUAGGUGAGGAGGCAUCUUUCUCCAUUGACAAGGUGGGGUGUGAUGGAGGUGAAGAGUUCUCCUCUAAGGAGUAUGAUUGGAAGUUACCAAUCGGUGGCAAUCACCAUCGGAGCUUUUUGUCAAGCACCGUCAACACCCCUGGGUGGAAGCCAUGUCUAUACUACCAAAGGUUCCAUCUUCAACCCUAUAAUAUCACAUUUCUUAGAUCCACACACUAAUCUCUAUUGUACCAGCGGAAUGACCACCCAUCUUGGUAGCGACGACAUGCAAGAGUACUCUUCUCGACCACCUCAGAUAGACCAAAGUGACCUAACCAACAACUGCAGUGCACGACAGAUCUACUUGACCUUCCCGCCUGAUUCCAUUUUCAGCAAAGAGGAUGUCUGCAACUACUUUAGGUAUCACAUGUUCCACCAUAGUGCCCCUAUUGAUGUGUCUUGUUUCAAUAUUGGAGCAUUUCAUAAUUUAAUGAAUGCAAUCUGUUUUGGCUUGUUUGUGUUGUGUGGGGACAACCAGCAUGUAUGGGAUGGUGCAAGAUGUGCGUAUCCCAUACCAGGAGAAGCGCAUGUUUGGUUUUGUCACCUUCGCCUACCAAAAGACAGUGAAGCUAAUUCUUGCCAAGGGCAACCCACAUUACAUCUGUGAUGCACGUGUUCUUGUCAAGCCAUACAAGGAGAAGGACAAGGUCCCCAACAAGUUCAGGCAUGUUAAUCAUUGCCUAAUUCCACUUUGUAUUUUUGCACAUAUAUUACCUUUUGUGAGUACUUCUAUUGUUUUUCUUAAAAAUUGCAUAAAGUCUAUUGAUUUUAUUAAAAUUGCAGAAAGUUUCAGCAAAGUGACUCUCCUAGCUACAUGAAUCACAAUAGAUUGCUUUAUUCUAGGGUGCCCUUUGACCUGCGACGACACCAAAUAGGGCCGAGAAUUUUGUAUAGGGACAUGGCUAGUCAUGAGGCAUCUUUUAGGAUGAAGCAAGAUGAACAACAACAUGCGACCGAGCUGCAACGUCGUUGCUUAAUGAGGCUUCCGCUUCUCAAUCUUCAGGAUUGGGGCCAUCAUCUCAGCUCUCCCAUGGGUUCACAUGUGCUUCUAGGACAAGUUGAUAACAAAUAUAAUAUUAAUGAGAAUGACAAUCCCAUUCAUUUGGAGGAUGUCACAUUUUGAGGUCUAGUUCUUGGUCGUUGUAAUGUCUUGUCUAUUAAUUAUGUUUUUUCGGAAAGUUUAUUAAUUAUGUUGUACUAAGGUUGUGACUUCUUGUUUUAUUUAUAGACAAUAAGCUGAAGAAUGAGUUUGCUAUGAGGGAAAUUGCCUCUACUGCAAUCUCCACAGAAGCCAAGCGCACGGUCAUCUCUACGGAAGAGGGGAAGAGAGAAUAUGGUCCCAAGGCAGCAACACCUAAUGAUGCUUGUGGAUUCCUGGAAAGUGGAAUGGAGUACAAUUUGCCUCAUAGCCCCUUCUCAUCUCCUACCAAGGCUUCCAAUGUUGCAGCAACAGCUCA